RNAcentral lists this ribosomal RNA (1286 nucleotides) under metagenome. Its description in RNAcentral is "bacterial SSU rRNA". It matches the Rfam family "Bacterial small subunit ribosomal RNA", at positions 242 to 1520 of the family's 1533-position model. The record is from RNAcentral.
UAGCUAGUUGGUGAGGUAAAGGCUUACCAAGGCGACGAUCUGUAGCGGGUCUGAGAGGAUGAUCCGCCACACUGGAACUGAGACACGGUCCAGACUCCUACGGGAGGCAGCAGUGGGGAAUUUUGGACAAUGGGGGCAACCCUGAUCCAGCCAUGCCGCGUGAGUGAAGAAGGCCUUCGGGUUGUAAAGCUCUUUCGGCCGGGAAGAAAUCGCAUGGGCCAAUACCCUGUGUGGAUGACGGUACCGGAAUAAGAAGCACCGGCUAACUACGUGCCAGCAGCCGCGGUAAUACGUAGGGUGCGAGCGUUAAUCGGAAUUACUGGGCGUAAAGCGUGCGCAGGCGGUUUUGUAAGACAGGCGUGAAAUCCCCGGGCUUAACCUGGGAACUGCGUUUGUGACUGCAAGGCUAGAGUACGGCAGAGGGGGGUGGAAUUCCACGUGUAGCAGUGAAAUGCGUAGAGAUGUGGAGGAACACCAAUGGCGAAGGCAGCCCCCUGGGUCGAUACUGACGCUCAUGCACGAAAGCGUGGGUAGCAAACAGGAUUAGAUACCCUGGUAGUCCACGCCCUAAACUAUGUCAACUAGGUGUUGGGUGGGUAAAACCAUUUAGUACCGUAGCUAACGCGUGAAGUUGACCGCCUGGGGAGUACGGCCGCAAGGUUAAAACUCAAAGGAGUUGACGGGGACCCGCACAAGCGGUGGAUGAUGUGGAUUAAUUCGAUGCAACGCGAAAAACCUUACCUACCCUUGACAUGCCAGGAACUUGCCAGAGAUGGCUUGGUGCCCGAAAGGGAGCCUGGACACAGGUGCUGCAUGGCUGUCGUCAGCUCGUGUCGUGAGAUGUUGGGUUAAGUCCCGCAACGAGCGCAACCCUUGUCGUUAAUUGCCAUCAUUUAGUUGGGCACUUUAACGAGACUGCCGGUGACAAACCGGAGGAAGGUGGGGAUGACGUCAAGUCCUCAUGGCCCUUAUGGGUAGGGCUUCACAUGUCAUACAAUGGUCGGUACAAAGGGUCGCCAAGCCGCGAGGCGGAGCCAAUCCCAGAAAGCCGAUCGUAGUCCGGAUUGCAGGCUACAACUCGCCUGCAUGAAGUCGGAAUCGCUAGUAAUCGUGGAUCAGCAUGUCACGGUGAAUACGUUCCCGGGUCUUGUACACACCGCCCGUCACACCAUGGGAGCGGGUUCCGCCAGAAGUAGGUAGCCUAACCGCAAGGGGGCGCUUACCACGGCGGGGUUCGUGGCUGGGGUGAAGUCGUAACAAGGUAGCCGUAGGGGAACCUGCGGCUG